Molecule: long non-coding RNA, 210 nt
Filed under: Medicago truncatula (barrel medic)
Lineage: Eukaryota; Viridiplantae; Streptophyta; Magnoliopsida; Fabales; Fabaceae
Description: long non-coding RNA (MTRU_LNC005099)
Source: RNAcentral
GGGUGAACAAUCUUUGGUGUGUUUGUUUCUCUCUUCUCUCCCUUUAUUUUGUGCUUGUGGUUUUGAGUUUUUCACUUUGAUUACUAGAUUAGAUCUAGGUGUUGUUAUUAUUGUUGUUGCUUGUAUUUACUUUGAAAUUGGUUACUACUUUCCUUUGCUCCACACAUCAUAGUUUGUAUUAGUGUGAGUUUUGAGUCUGAAUUCACAACA